This is a long non-coding RNA of Astatotilapia calliptera (eastern happy), 1167 nucleotides long. The record is from Ensembl. Lineage: Eukaryota; Metazoa; Chordata; Actinopteri; Cichliformes; Cichlidae.
CUAACGCACUAGUUCCCAUCAAUUGAGCAUUGCGUGGCACAUCCAUCACACUGUUUUACUUUUGUCCAUGACGCGCUUACCAUCAGGGUCAUGCUUCACAUGAAAAACAAGAUAGUUCCAAAGGCCAGAUCUGAAUGAGGGUGGGGGAGGUUCAAUUUCGGGUAGCGUUGAGGCAGUUGCCAUGUUGCAACGAGCUUAGCUUCUGUCUUGCUAGCUUGUGCUGCGCUCAGUGGAUCUGCACUCGACAGUGCAGCCUAGGCGGAGUAGUCGAACGCAGAUCCACUGAGCGCUCAACACAGACAGCAUCGUCAGAAGAAAAGUUGAUAAAAUAAAUAAAUUUUUUUGUUUUGUUCGAUACAUAUGCGUACCGAACCGAAAGCACUGUAUCGAACGGUUCAAUAUCGAUACGAGUAUUGUUGCACCCCUAAUAAAUAUAUGCUUCUUUUACUGACCAUUGUCGUGCUGGGCAAAUGUCACUGCAGGAGUCCUGAGCUGCAAAAUCCAAACAUGAAAAAAAUUAAUAAAAUUCAAAAGCGUGACCCCCUAAAAGAGAAAAGAAAAAAAGAAAACAGAUCAAACUGAAAAUGUUCCCUUUUUUAAAAAAAUGUUUUGUUUCGCACUUUAGAACCUCCAUACAUGAGUUUGAACAAAAUGCGAUGUCGUGCAGAGUUGGAACACGGAGCUCUUACGAGCUGCCCCAUCAGGCAUUAAUAUACUUCUUCUUGCUGUUCGGUUGGAAAGAUGUUCCAACAAAUUGUGAGAAUGACACUUGAAUAUAUUUAAACAUUGAAACUGUGAAAUUUUCUUUACCUUCAGUUUAAAAUGUACCUACACCAAAAAAAGGAAACACAGUGAGGACUGUGAAGUGUGGCAAUCAGUACAUUAAUAUGAAAUACUGGAAGAUGUAAGUACAAGAAGAAAAUGUGCCCUGCAAGUAUGAGUACACGGUUGUGUAAACACAAAUCACAGAACUGUUUCCCGUAGCCUGCAGGCAGAGCUGCUCUGUGUGCCACUCCCAAGAGCAUGGGAGGAGGCUGCUGAAGGAGGGGACUGACUGCAGAGUGUCAAGCCCACACAGGUGAACUCCCGCUGGGGUGGAAUGCAACGGGCGGGAGGGGGGGCUGACGCACAGAGGUGUGGACCUUUUAACUUAACAGGGUGGGGAAG